AAAAAAACAACCCUGCCCAACACAACUAACCCAGGUGGUGUUUAUGUCUUUUGCAACAGUGCCCUGCACUGACCACUGCAGGGCAAUGUGCAGACCCAGGCUGGAAACCCAGAGCAUGUGUUCAUGCCCACCCAGGUCCUGUGGCUGGUCAUGCUCCACCUCCAAAACCAACUGAGGGGCAAUUGUGCCCUCGUCCAGGGGCCAAAUCCAACCUGUGGGGCUAAGGCAUGUGGGAAUUUAUAAUGGAGCACCUGGGUUGCUGGUUAUGGGGUUGCCUGAGGCAUGGGGAAGACCACCUCAUUCUUCUGGCCAAGAAAUGACCAGAAGAAGGUGCUUGUUUUAAUUUUAUAACCCCAGGGCCCUCUAGGGUUUGCUUACGUCAAAUAGCCUCUGAAGCACAGCUUGGCUGCUUUGCACAUCUCCUGGGCCUGCCUUGAGGCUGGAUGUGGUGACAUUUCUGUGUUAUCUAAAUUAGACCCAACCUUAUCAGUACCCAAUGGCUUCCAGGAAGUUGUGGAGUCCCCUCUGCUCCCCUGGACUUCCCAUGUACACAAUGCCAGAGGGGUUUCUUUUCACCACAGCUUAUACCUCUGCUCUCACUGCACAUUAUCCUAGAAUGUUGACUGAACAGAACAGAAGACACUAGAGUCCAACAGACUUCGUGGAAAUAGGUAGCUGGUAGAGGGAAGGGACCCAAGCUACCGCCCAGAUUACACAGAGAGCAGCUAGGGGGCAUGCUAAGGUUACAAAGAGCCCUGGCUCCCCCAGCAUCCCCCUGCAGUGGAGACUGGACACUCAUGAGGAAACCUGAGGGUUUGUUAAAGACUUGAAGCUCCCACUGCUUUACGAAGGUAGGAAAGACAUGAAAAAUUGUCUCUGCAUCACCUCUCAAGCCCUCCAGCAGGGAAAGCCAAAUAUAACAAUUCUGAUAUAUAUUUACCAUAUGAACAACAACCAGGGGAAAAAACCUGUGCAUUUUUGUCUUAUAUUGAAAGAAAGGACAUAAAUCCAAGCAAACCAAAAAUCCCUGUAGUCAUCUAGUUCAUCUUCCCACAGUACAUAUAAGUCCAAUUGAAAGCAGGAAGUAUUUAUUCUGUCUCCCUGAGAAAAACUCAGGCCCUUAAUACACUGCUAGUUACAGUUAGCUUUUUGUAUGGAUUAUUUUAAAGGUUUAUUGACAUGCCAGAGAACUAAGCACCUUGUUUACUAGCAUCGUUUAAGUCUGUAUUAACAAAACCAUUGUAGAAUCUCACUCCUAUUAACAAUAAUAAUCUAGAUUUUUGAAGGGAAGGUGAAACUCCACAUCAUUUCCAUGAUACGGCCAUGUAACAAGACGUGAUCCUGAAUGCAUAUGAAAUUCUGAGUUGAUCGUAGAACUGAGAGCAGAAUAAUUCAAGAGUUUUUAAAUGCCACUUUGUUCACCUUGGUAAUUUACCCUUCAUGGGAUAUCCUUGUAAUAAUUAAUCAUAUCUGCAAUGCACAGACCAUUU
RNAcentral lists this long non-coding RNA (1490 nucleotides) under Anas platyrhynchos platyrhynchos (common mallard). RNAcentral's name for it is "lncRNA (ENSAPLG00000028371.1)". Lineage: Eukaryota; Metazoa; Chordata; Aves; Anseriformes; Anatidae. The record is from RNAcentral.